This is a long non-coding RNA of Passer montanus (Eurasian tree sparrow), 1141 nucleotides long. RefSeq lists it as uncharacterized. The transcript is spliced from 4 exons. NCBI's taxonomy places the organism in Eukaryota, Metazoa, Chordata, Aves, Passeriformes, Passeridae. The record is from RefSeq and is a predicted model, not a curated record.
CAGCAACAAAGUAUAGCCUUGGUUUUCUCAAUAUCAGGUCACAAGAGGCCACCAGGAAAAAAUAAUAAUGCUGGCAAAACACACCUGAAUGCCAGCCAUUUUCAAAAAUAAAGAAUUCUCCUCAGCAUGGCAUACUUCCCUCCUAUGACACACACAGCUUGGUCACAGAGUGGGAUUCUGCUAAACACUGGUAGCUGUUUGUCAAUUUGAACCUUCUUUUUAACAUCUCCUUGUGCUUCUGGUCCUGACCUCUUUGAGAAGAUCAUAUGAGUCACGAGGUGUUUUUUGUACCAUCAUAGCAAAUGCACAGCAGAUCAGCAGAGUGGAGAGGAAAAGACCACACCACAGAGCAAGUGUGAGAUUGUGUAGUUGAGAAUGCCUGACAUCUCACUGCUGAGCUUGAGGGGCAAAAGCUGUGUCUGGGCCAUGUUUUCAAGCAGACAAUGCAAAGAAUGGAUGAAAUGAGAGAAAUAAAACAGCUGCUCCAUCAAAACUCUCUCGGUCUAGUGAGGGAUCCUGCAUGGAUAGAAGAGAGCAGAAUAAGGGCCAAAGAAGUAGAGCAGCCUUGAAAUUGCUCCAUAGUCCUCUUCCUGUUCCUGAGGCUGGGGACACUACAUUUACACCAAAUGGUGUUCUCUCCAAAGGAAAACUAAAUGGGGUGUGAAGAGCAAUUCAAGUCCCUGGGGAAAUACAAGGAAACUAAAUCAGAUUGAGCAUGUCAAAACCAUCUCAGGUGAUAGAAUUACAGGAGAACAAGGAAAGAGGUAGACAAAUAUGGGAAGGAAAACUAGCGGCUGAGUGCUUUGAAGCCUUCUGCAUCAAUCCAGCUGGGACCAAGGGCAUCCUGACCUUCCCAGGAAGCUGCUCAAGAGAUUUGUCCUCAGGGUCUUCAAAAACCAAAGCUGAAAAAGAGCUAGGCAGUAAAAAUGAGGGCUGAGUUAUUCAGACUGUAUACUAAAUGAUGCUCCUAGCCCAGAAUUUGGUGAAAAAGCAGAUGUCAUGUUCCACUAUGGGGAAUGGUGAUGAGUUCUUUUAAAAAAUCCAGAACUGAGAUCACCAUCAUUUGUAGCUAUGAGUGGGAGCAAAUGGAUCUAAACAACUGCAAGAAAUGAAUUGUCAGUGAAUUGUGUCCCCUUUUAGU